UACGUAGGGUGCAAGCGUUAAUCGGAAUUACUGGGCGUAAAGCGUGCGCAGGCGGCUUUGCAAGACAGAUGUGAAAUCCCCGGGCUUAACCUGGGAACUGCAUUUGUGACUGCAUGGCUAGAGUGCGGCAGAGGGGGAUGGAAUUCCGCGUGUAGCAGUGAAAUGCGUAGAUAUGCGGAGGAACACCGAUGGCGAAGGCAAUCCCCUGGGCCAACACUGACGCUCAGGCACGAAAGCGUGGGGAGCAAACAGG
RNAcentral lists this ribosomal RNA (253 nucleotides) under uncultured bacterium. RNAcentral describes it as "partial 16S ribosomal RNA". It matches the Rfam family "Bacterial small subunit ribosomal RNA", at positions 524 to 776 of the family's 1533-position model. The record is from RNAcentral.